ACUCCUACGGGAGGCAGCAGUAGGGAAUCUUCCACAAUGGACGAAAGUCUGAUGGAGCAACGCCGCGUGAGUGAAGAAGGUUUUCGGAUCGUAAAACUCUGUUGUUGGAGAAGAAUGUAUCUGAUAGUAACUGAUCAGGUAGUGACGGUAUCCAACCAGAAAGCCACGGCUAACUACGUGCCAGCAGCCGCGGUAAU
RNAcentral lists this ribosomal RNA (197 nucleotides) under uncultured bacterium. RNAcentral describes it as "partial 16S ribosomal RNA". It matches the Rfam family "Bacterial small subunit ribosomal RNA", at positions 335 to 524 of the family's 1533-position model. The record is from RNAcentral.